This 466-nucleotide ribosomal RNA is filed under the name uncultured bacterium. RNAcentral describes it as "partial 16S ribosomal RNA". It matches the Rfam family "Bacterial small subunit ribosomal RNA", at positions 28 to 507 of the family's 1533-position model. The record is from RNAcentral.
GACGAACGCUGGCGGCGUGCUUAACACAUGCAAGUCGAACGGAAAGGCCCUGCUUGCCGGGUACUCGAGUGGCGAACGGGUGAGUAACACGUGGGUGAUCUGCCCUGCACUUCGGGAUAAGCUUGGGAAACUGGGUCUAAUACCGGAUAGGAGCCAUCUUUAGUGUGGUGGUUGGAAAGUUUUUUCGGUGUAGGAUGAGCUCGCGGCCUAUCAGCUUGUUGGUGGGGUAAUGGCCUACCAAGGCGGCGACGGGUAGCCGGCCUGAGAGGGUGUACGGCCACAUUGGGACUGAGAUACGGCCCAGACUCCUACGGGAGGCAGCAGUGGGGAAUAUUGCACAAUGGGCGCAAGCCUGAUGCAGCGACGCCGCGUGGGGGAUGAAGGCCUUCGGGUUGUAAACUCCUUUCGCUAGGGACGAAGCGUUGUUGUGACGGUACCUAGAUAAGAAGCACCGGCUAACUACGUG